RNAcentral lists this long non-coding RNA (3059 nucleotides) under Sus scrofa (pig). RNAcentral's name for it is "lncRNA (ENSSSCG00000060498.1)". The record is from RNAcentral. Lineage: Eukaryota; Metazoa; Chordata; Mammalia; Artiodactyla; Suidae.
GACUACUGGCUUUCUAUGCAAGACGUGUAAGUACUUAGGUGGAGAAGAGUAUGUGAGGAAACCACAUGCAGAAGCCAUGUGGAAAGGAGAGGCCCUGAGACUUGGCAUGAAAAGAGAGAGAAGGCCAGCCAUCUGACUGUCCCAUUCCAGACUCUAAAUGAGAGGGAUCCCAAGCGAAACUAGCUGGAGAAUUAUCCAAUCAGCCCCAGAACCAGCGGACAUAAUAAAAUGAUUGACGUUUAAGGCAGCAGUCAACAACUACAAUGGAAUUAGGUAGCUGAAUCAGUCCAUUCAAGCUCCUAUAAAAAAUACAUGAUAGUCUGGGUGGCUUAUAAACAACUACAAUUUCCACAGUUCUGGCGACUGGGAGGUACAAAAUCAGAUUUGGUGUCAGGUGAGGGCCCAUUUCUUUGUCCAUAAACCGUGCCUUCUAGCUAUCACUUCAGAUCGUGGAAAGGAUUGGGGAGCUCUGUGGGUCUCUUUUAUAAGAGCACUCAUCUCACUCAUAAGUGUUCCACUCAUGUGACCUGAUCAUCUUACAAAUCAAUUUGGCAUUAGAUUUCAACAUAGGAGGUUUGAGGGGACACAAACAUUUGGUCUAAAGCAGUAGCUAAAAGUGCUACUAUAGUGAAAAACCUAAAACGUGGCAUUGGCCUUGCUACUGGGAUUAGGAGUCAAAGCUGGAAGGACCUCAGGGAGGCUGUAAAAGUUGGUCUGAUCAUAAACUUAAUUGUAUUCCCAACCUAGUGUUCAAAAAAUGGUAUAGAUGCUAAAUGAAUAUCUGAUUAAUAAACAGAUGAGGUCUUAUAAGCUAGUAAAACAAACACCCCAGUUUAAAAAUGGGCAAAGAGUAAAUGGGAUUUUCACCCAGAACAAAAAAAUCCAGUAAGAAAAUAAAAACUUGCUUAAUCUCAAUAAUAUUCAAAAAAAUGCAAAUUAAAACAGUACCUUGGCUGGCUAUUUAUUUUACCUCUCAAACUUGCCAGAAUAAAAUAGAAUGAUAGUAGGAAGGCAUGCACUCCUGCAUUUGCUAGUGGGAGUGGACAUCAGUCAAAGUUUUUGGAGUGCAGUUGGCAGUGUGUACUACUAAAUGCCUCAAAAACGCAUAUACCUUUUAACCCAACAAUUUAAAGUUUAGACAAUUUUCCUGAGAGUAUAAUUAAGAAUUACACAUUAGCCAUAAAGAUGACCUUAGUGCAAUAUUUUUAUUAUAAUAAAAAUUAUGAUUGUCUGACUCAAGAUGAAUUAAGUUGUGGUGUAGCAAAAAAUUGUAUUUAUGGCUUGAAAAGAUGUUCAUAAUACAUUUCUGAGUAAAAAAAACCAGGUAACAUAAUGGUGGUAUGAUUAUGAUGGCAUGAUCUCAUGUUUAUUAAAGCAUAUUUGAUAUAUAACAUAAUAUGAUAUACGCAUAUAUAACCUUAAAAUUUUUUCAUAUACAUGGAAUAUAUAUCCUGAUAUGUGUUAGACUCCAUAUUACGCAGGUAGCAGAUCAUUCAGAGCUUUAGUUCCUAAUAGAAAUUUGGUUAUUUCCUUUUCAACACCAUGGAGCUAUUGCAAGAUUUUAUUUUUUUUUUCUUUUAGGGCCAUACCUGCGCCAUAGGGAAGUUCCCAGGCUAGGAGGCAAAUCAGAGCUGCAGCUGCUAGUCUAUACCACAACCACAGCAAUGUGACCUACACUGCAGUUUGUGGUAAUGAAGGAUCCUUAAUCCUUAACUGAGUGAGGCCAGGGAUUGAACGCGCAUUCUCAUGGAUACUAGUCGCGUUCGUUAACAGCAGAGCCACGAAGGGAACUCCAGAAAUGGUUUAUUAACAGAUCUGGCUAUUGACAGACUUGUUGAGUGGAAGAAGUUGGAAUAGCCUUACCCUUUGGGAUCUUGCAGCCGGUUUAUUUAUUUUGUUUCUCCCUUCAACUUAUCCCUCUGGCAGCACACAUGUUUCUAACUUUCCCCUUCCUAAUUCCGUUUCAUUGGAGAGGGCAUUGUGAUCCAAUUUGUCUCAUUAACCUGUGCUAGCAAGUGAAUAGUUCUUACGUGUUAUCCCGUCCUGUUGUGCAUUCACAUACAACAAUUAAGAAAUGUUCAGGUUCUAUUAUUCACUUAAGUAUUUAGUGAACAUCUAUUAUAUUUUAGGUGCUGGGAGAAAAGUAAAGGACAUUCUAUAAGAUUUUAAUACUAUCUUAUAGACUAAGAUAUAUUGAUUCAAUGUGAUGGUAUGCAAAUCUAAGAAGAAUUUCUCUCCAAUUAACCUCUUGUUUAUGGUGCUAAUUUUUUUUCUCUUUCCCCCUUCCACACUCUCUCUCUUUAUUUUUAUUAUUUAUUCCCCAAUGUGUCAUGGGAAAGACUAGAGGUAUUGAGGUAUUGCAGUUUUAUGCAACCCUUAGUAGUGGGCUAAGGUAAUUUUGGUUGGCGUCCCAAUUGAUCACUCUGAUUACUAACUUUAUCUCUUCUCUCUAGAGGGAAAUAUUUGAAUUCCUAAGACCUUAUCAAGAUCUUCUUAAUUUUAGGCUAUUUUUCCUUUGUUGAUUAGUUCUUUCUUCUCUACUCAUUUCCACCUAACAAAUAAACCUCACUUAAGACCUUAAUUUGAGUUUCUCAGGGAGCUAGUACAUGGGCAAGAGUUCCAAAUGUCAGUGUUUUAACCCAGAUUAAGAAUCUUAUGAUGGGAGUUCCUAUCAUGGAACAGCAGAAACAAAUCGGACUAGAACCAUGAGGUUGUGGGUUUGAUCCCUGGCCUCGCUCAGUGGGUUAAGGAUCUGGCAUUGCUAUGAGCUGUGGUGUAGGUCGAAGACGUGGCUCAGAUCCACUGUGCUGUGGCUCUGGCGUAGGCUGGCAGCUGUAGCUCCGAUUUGACCCCUAGCCUGGGAACCUCCAAAUGCUGUGGAUGAGGCCCUAAAAAGCAAAAAAAAAAAAAUCUUAUGAUGAAAUUUAGGAUACCCUAAUAGUGCCAACUAAUGAGAAAGAUUCACAUCAGGAAAGCACUCCAAUUGUCUAAACUUCCUAAGACUGCUCCUAGAAACAAAUAAAAGUGAUACUGGUUAAAAAAAAACAAAAAACAAAAAC